GAAUGAUAUCAGUUUGGAGAGGAUGAAGCUGGGUCAGGGAGAUCAGAAAUCCAGUCAGGAAAACUACCGCGCUUCUUCUUCUACUGCUGUCAGCUUCUGGAUACCAGACAUGCACACUGCCACCUACUGGAGCAUCCGAAAACAGCCUCGUUCCGACAGCAUUGCAGGGAGAUGAGAAGCUCCACUGGACCAAACUGAGGAUGUUUUUCCUGAACAUUCAAUGUCAGAAACAUUCAAAAUCAGAAUCAGAAUGAGCUUUAUUGCCAGUGUUCAUGAGAUGGAUUGCCUGAGGGAAGAAACUGUUCCUGUGCCUGGCCGUUCUGGUGCUCAGUGCUCUGUAGCGUGUAGAGGGAGUGUGCAGUUCUUGGAGAGUGGAAAGGGGUGUACCAGUGAUUCGCUCAGCAGUCCGGACGAUCCUCUGCAGUCUUCUGAGAUCAGAUUUGGUAGCUGAGCUGAACCAGACAGUUAUUGAAGUGCAGAGGACGGAUUCAAUGAUGGCAGAGUAGAACUGUUUCAGCAGCUCCUGUGGCAGGUUGA
Pangasianodon hypophthalmus (striped catfish) is the source of this 537-nucleotide long non-coding RNA. RefSeq lists it as uncharacterized. The transcript has 3 exons. The record is from RefSeq and is a predicted model, not a curated record. NCBI's taxonomy places the organism in Eukaryota, Metazoa, Chordata, Actinopteri, Siluriformes, Pangasiidae.